Molecule: ribosomal RNA, 171 nt
Filed under: uncultured bacterium
Lineage: Bacteria
Description: partial 16S ribosomal RNA
Rfam family: Bacterial small subunit ribosomal RNA
Source: RNAcentral
CACGCCGUAAACGAUGAAUGCUAGCCGUUGGAUAGCUUGCUAUUCAGUGGCGCAGCUAACGCAUUAAGCAUUCCGCCUGGGGAGUNCAACGCGCAGAACCUUACCAGGGUUUGACAUCCUGCGACCGCUCCUUAAUAGGAGUUUUCCCGCAAGGGACGCAGAGACAGGUGC